CAGCAGCACGCCUGCACUGGUCGUACGGCACACACAACCAGCUCAACAUCUUCAGGAGGGUUCUGCUGUUUCUGCCGCCUAGCAACGCGCUGG
Rhagoletis zephyria (snowberry fruit fly) is the source of this 93-nucleotide long non-coding RNA. RefSeq lists it as uncharacterized. Lineage: Eukaryota; Metazoa; Arthropoda; Insecta; Diptera; Tephritidae. The record is from RefSeq and is a predicted model, not a curated record.